Molecule: ribosomal RNA, 536 nt
Filed under: Penicillium citrinum
Lineage: Eukaryota; Fungi; Ascomycota; Eurotiomycetes; Eurotiales; Aspergillaceae
Description: eukaryotic LSU rRNA
Rfam family: 5.8S ribosomal RNA (bases 163-316)
Source: RNAcentral
UGAACCUGCGGAAGGAUCAUUACCGAGUGCGGGCCCCUCGGGGCCCAACCUCCCACCCGUGUUGCCCGAACCUAUGUUGCCUCGGCGGGCCCCGCGCCCGCCGACGGCCCCCCUGAACGCUGUCUGAAGUUGCAGUCUGAGACCUAUAACGAAAUUAGUUAAAACUUUCAACAACGGAUCUCUUGGUUCCGGCAUCGAUGAAGAACGCAGCGAAAUGCGAUAACUAAUGUGAAUUGCAGAAUUCAGUGAAUCAUCGAGUCUUUGAACGCACAUUGCGCCCUCUGGUAUUCCGGAGGGCAUGCCUGUCCGAGCGUCAUUGCUGCCCUCAAGCCCGGCUUGUGUGUUGGGCCCCGUCCCCCCCGCCGGGGGGACGGGCCCGAAAGGCAGCGGCGGCACCGCGUCCGGUCCUCGAGCGUAUGGGGCUUCGUCACCCGCUCUAGUAGGCCCGGCCGGCGCCAGCCGACCCCCAACCUUUAAUUAUCUCAGGUUGACCUCGGAUCAGGUAGGGAUACCCGCUGAACUUAAGCAUAUCAAUA